Molecule: small nuclear RNA, 21 nt
Filed under: Arabidopsis thaliana (thale cress)
Lineage: Eukaryota; Viridiplantae; Streptophyta; Magnoliopsida; Brassicales; Brassicaceae
Description: snRNA_11732
Source: RNAcentral
UACCGGCCAAGCCGCUAAGAA